This 448-nucleotide ribosomal RNA is filed under the name uncultured bacterium. Its description in RNAcentral is "bacterial SSU rRNA". It matches the Rfam family "Bacterial small subunit ribosomal RNA", at positions 331 to 793 of the family's 1533-position model. The record is from RNAcentral.
CCAGACUCCUACGGGAGGCAGCAGUGGGGGAUAUUGGACAAUGGGGGAAACCCUGAUCCGGCGACGCCGCGUGAGUGAAGAAGUAUUUCGGUAUGUAAAGCUCUGUCAGCAGGGAAGAAAGAAAUGACGGUACCUGACCAAGAAGCCCCGGCUAACUACGUGCCAGCAGCCGCGGUAAUACGUAGGGGGCAAGCGUUAUCCGGAAUUACUGGGUGUAAAGGGAGCGUAGACGGUGAUGCAAGUCUGGAGUGAAAGGCGGGGGCCCAACCCCUGGACUGCUUUGGGAACUGUACGGCUGGAGUGCAGGAGAGGUAAGUGGAAUUCCUAGUGUAGCGGUGAAAUGCGUAGAUAUUAGGAGGAACACCAGUGGCGAAGGCGGCUUACUGGACUGUAACUGACGUUGAGGCUCGAAAGCGUGGGGAGCAAACAGGAUUAGAUACCCCCGUAA